AGGAUGAACGCUGGCGGCGUGCUUAACACAUGCAAGUCGAACGAUGAAGCCGGAGCUUGCUCUGGUGGAUUAGUGGCGAACGGGUGAGUAACACGUGAGUAACCUGCCCUUGACUCUGGGAUAAGCGUUGGAAACGACGUCUAAUACCGGAUACGACGCGCGAAGGCAUCUUCUGCGCGUGGAAAAGUAAUUUUCGGCAAGGAUGGACUCGCGGCCUAUCGGCUAGUUGGUGAGGUAAUGGCCCACCAAGGCGACGACGGGUAGCCGGCCUGAGAGGGUGACCGGCCACACUGGGACUGAGACACGGCCCAGACUCCGUACGGGAGGCAGCAGGUCGGGGAAUAGUUGCACAAGUGGGCG
This 360-nucleotide ribosomal RNA is filed under the name uncultured soil bacterium. Its description in RNAcentral is "bacterial SSU rRNA". It matches the Rfam family "Bacterial small subunit ribosomal RNA", at positions 26 to 377 of the family's 1533-position model. The record is from RNAcentral.